GACGAACGCUGGCGGCGUGCCUAAUACAUGCAAGUAGAACGCUGAAGAGAGGAGCUUGCUCUUCUUGGAUGAGUUGCGAACGGGUGAGUAACGCGUAGGUAACCUGCCUUUUAGCGGGGGAUAACUAUUGGAAACGAUAGCUAAUACCGCAUAACAAUGGAUGACCCAUGUCAUUUAUUUGAAAGGGGCAAAUGCUCCACUACAAGAUGGACCUGCGUUGUAUUAGCUAGUAGGUGAGGUAACGGCUCACCUAGGCGACGAUACAUAGCCGACCUGAGAGGGUGAUCGGCCAAACUGGGACUGAGAAACGGGCCAGACUCCUACGGGAGGCAGCAGUAGGGAAUCUUCGGCAAUGGGGGCAACCCUGACCGAGCAACGCCGCGUGAGUGAAGAAGGUUUUCGGAUCGUAAAGCUCUGUUGUAAGUCAAGAACGAGUGUGAGAGUGGAAAGUUCACACUGUGACGGUAGCUUACCAGAAAGGGACGGCUAACUACGUG
Molecule: ribosomal RNA, 497 nt
Filed under: uncultured bacterium
Lineage: Bacteria
Description: partial 16S ribosomal RNA
Rfam family: Bacterial small subunit ribosomal RNA
Source: RNAcentral